CUGACUGCCUAGGCAACACAUAUACUAGAACUGGAAUGCUAUAGACAAUAUGGCCCUUGCACAAAGAUAACAGGCAAAUUUGUGAAGUGUUACAUAAUUUU
This is a small nuclear RNA of Cricetulus griseus (Chinese hamster), 101 nucleotides long. The record is from Ensembl. Lineage: Eukaryota; Metazoa; Chordata; Mammalia; Rodentia; Cricetidae.